AGGAUAUUAGUUAAAUAUAACAUUUAAGUUGCAGUUAAAAAUUACUUUUUAAAAGUAUAUCUUA
This 64-nucleotide transfer RNA is filed under the name Rhagigaster sp. M222. RNAcentral's name for it is "tRNA-Ala". Lineage: Eukaryota; Metazoa; Arthropoda; Insecta; Hymenoptera; Thynnidae. The record is from RNAcentral.